This 69-nucleotide small nucleolar RNA is filed under the name Rhinolophus ferrumequinum (greater horseshoe bat). RNAcentral's name for it is "Z6 small nucleolar RNA (ENSRFEG00010000926.1)". It matches the Rfam family "Z6 small nucleolar RNA". From Rfam's summary of the family: Z6 belongs to the C/D class of snoRNA which contain the C (UGAUGA) and D (CUGA) box motifs. Most of the members of the box C/D family function in directing site-specific 2'-O-methylation of substrate RNAs. The record is from Rfam by way of RNAcentral. Lineage: Eukaryota; Metazoa; Chordata; Mammalia; Chiroptera; Rhinolophidae.
UGCUUCCGCCUCCCUCCCUGCUCAGGGCUCCCAGGAACCAGGAGAGACGCUGCCUCGAAAGCUGAAGCA